Molecule: ribosomal RNA, 399 nt
Filed under: uncultured bacterium
Lineage: Bacteria
Description: bacterial SSU rRNA
Rfam family: Bacterial small subunit ribosomal RNA
Source: RNAcentral
GACGAACGCUGGCGGCGUGCUUAACACAUGCAAGUCGAGCGGUAAGGCCCUUUCGGGGGUACACGAGCGGCGAACGGGUGAGUAACACGUGGGUGACCUGCCCUUAGCUCUGGGAUAAGCCUGGGAAACUGGGUCUAAUACCGGAUAUGACUCCAUGACGCAUGUUGUGGGGUGGAAAGCCUUGUGCGGCUAGGGAUGGGCCCGCGGCCUAUCAGCUUGUUGGUGGGGUGAUGACCACCAAGGCGACGACGGGUAGCCGGCCUGAGAGGGCGACCGGCCACACUGGGACUGAGACACGGCCCAGACUCCUACGGGAGGCAGCAGUGGGGAAUCUUGCGCAAUGGGCGAAAGCCUGACGCAGCGACGCCGCGUGGGGAGUGACGGCCUCGGUUGUAACGU